GAGAUAUUAGUAAAAUUUAAAUUACAUCACCUUGUCAAGGUGAAGUUGCAGGUUAGACCCCUGUAUAUCUCU
This 72-nucleotide transfer RNA is filed under the name Esomus metallicus (striped flying barb). RNAcentral describes it as "tRNA-Asp". It matches the Rfam family "tRNA". From Rfam's summary of the family: Transfer RNA (tRNA) molecules are approximately 80 nucleotides in length. The record is from RNAcentral. Lineage: Eukaryota; Metazoa; Chordata; Actinopteri; Cypriniformes; Danionidae.